This 778-nucleotide unclassified non-coding RNA is filed under the name Hevea brasiliensis (rubber tree). Lineage: Eukaryota; Viridiplantae; Streptophyta; Magnoliopsida; Malpighiales; Euphorbiaceae. The record is from RNAcentral.
GACAAUGGAAAUAAUGUAGAGUGCAAUUCCAAGGAAUCCAGGAAAGAACCAAAAGUUUCAAGAUGUGGAAUGUGUAACAAAGUUUUCACUAUUUUACAUGGUUAAAUGUUGCACAUCCAAUAAAGGUUUUCUCCAUCAAUCUCCCUCCCUGAUUGAAGUUCUAAGGUAUUAGUAGCUUAUAACUUCUCAAAGGCCUGAAUGAUAAUGAUAUAGUUUUAUGAAGAUACAGCAUGUGGAAUUUCUGAGAAAUGUGCAUGCAGCUGCAUACUGUAAAAGGAAGCACUAAUACAAGGCAUUCAUAAAAUCAAGAGAUCUACAAAUCAUGAUUCUUGAGGAUGGAUGCAUAAACAUCAACUGCACCUUGUCAACAAGAUGCUUGUACAAGCCCAUUGACACGCAAAGGUGUGAUCAACCAUGCACUCUGGCUAAAACAUCAACCGUUAUUGGAAUUGGAAGCAUAUCAGAAAAUGUAUUUCUGUCUUUUACCCAUCACCUAUACCUCAUUAUUACGUCUGUGUUUUCCUCACAAGAAAUAAUCUCUUAACUCCUAGUUCUUGCUGACCCAAGAAAGGAAGACCAUACUUGAGAAUUGUCAAAUGCAGAACUUUAAGAUUUUAACUUAUAGAACCCGUAGAAUUGCAGUAUUUGCACUCGUUUCAAUUGUUCUGGAAAAUAGGUCCGAGGUCCUUAUAACAGGAUGCAGAUACACUAAGAACUGACUAAAUGUAAUUAUUUGAUAAAAUUCAAAAUACGUAAAAACCCGAAUUAUAAGAUUUCA